This 478-nucleotide ribosomal RNA is filed under the name uncultured bacterium. RNAcentral's name for it is "partial 16S ribosomal RNA". It matches the Rfam family "Bacterial small subunit ribosomal RNA", at positions 28 to 507 of the family's 1533-position model. The record is from RNAcentral.
GAUGAACGCUAGCGGCAGGCCUAACACAUGCAAGUCGAGGGAGAAGCCCUUUCGGGGGCAGAAACCGGCGCACGGGUGCGUAACGCGUAUGCAACCUACCUUUCACAGGGGGAUAGCCCGAAGAAAUUUGGAUUAAUACCCCAUAAUAUUAUUGGAUGGCAUCAUUUGAUAAUUAAAACUGCGGUGGUGAAAGAUGGGCAUGCGUCCUAUUAGCUAGUUGGAGUGGUAACGGCACCCCAAGGCUACGAUAGGUAGGGGUCCUGAGAGGGAGAUCCCCCACACUGGUACUGAGACAGGGACCAGACUCCUACGGGAGGCAGCAGUGAGGAAUAUUGGUCAAUGGUCGGAAGACUGAACCAGCCAUGCCGCGUGCAGGAAGAAUGCCUUAUGGGUGGUAAACUGCUUUUAGAUGGGAAGAAUAAGGUGUACGUGUACAUUGAUGACGGUACCAGAUGAAUAAGCAUCAGCUAACUCCGUG